UCAAACUUGGUCAUUUAGAGGAAGUAAAAGUCGUAACAAGGUCUCCGUUGGUGAACCAGCGGAGGGAUCAUUAACGAGUUUUCAACUCCCAACCCUAUGUGAACAUACCAAUCGUUGCUUCGGCGGACACGCCCCGGCGUCCGGACGGCCCUGCGCCGCCCGCGACCCGGACCCAGGCGGCCGCCGAGGACCCCAAACUCUGUAUUCUUUAUGUCUUCUGAAUCCGCCGCAAGGCAAAACAAAUGAAUCAAAACUUUCAACAACGGAUCUCUUGGUUCUGGCAUCGAUGAAGAACGCAGC
This 300-nucleotide unclassified non-coding RNA is filed under the name uncultured fungus. RNAcentral describes it as "partial contains small subunit ribosomal RNA, internal transcribed spacer 1, and 5.8S ribosomal RNA". The stretch from base 1 to 73 matches the Rfam family "Eukaryotic small subunit ribosomal RNA", at positions 1759 to 1831 of the family's 1831-position model. Lineage: Eukaryota; Fungi. The record is from RNAcentral.